RNAcentral lists this ribosomal RNA (1147 nucleotides) under Pseudomonas synxantha. RNAcentral's name for it is "bacterial SSU rRNA". It matches the Rfam family "Bacterial small subunit ribosomal RNA", at positions 34 to 1176 of the family's 1533-position model. Lineage: Bacteria; Pseudomonadati; Pseudomonadota; Gammaproteobacteria; Pseudomonadales; Pseudomonadaceae. The record is from RNAcentral.
CGCUGGCGGCAGGCCUUACACAUGCAAGUCGAGCGGUAGAGAGAAGCUUGCUUCUCUUGAGAGCGGCGGACGGGUGAGUAAUGCCUAGGAAUCUGCCUGGUAGUGGGGGAUAACGUUCGGAAACGGACGCUAAUACCGCAUACGUCCUACGGGAGAAAGCAGGGGACCUUCGGGCCUUGCGCUAUCAGAUGAGCCUAGGUCGGAUUAGCUAGUUGGUGGGGUAAUGGCUCACCAAGGCGACGAUCCGUAACUGGUCUGAGAGGAUGAUCAGUCACACUGGAACUGAGACACGGUCCAGACUCCUACGGGAGGCAGCAGUGGGGAAUAUUGGACAAUGGGCGAAAGCCUGAUCCAGCCAUGCCGCGUGUGUGAAGAAGGUCUUCGGAUUGUAAAGCACUUUAAGUUGGGAGGAAGGGUUGUAGAUUAAUACUCUGCAAUUUUGACGUUACCGACAGAAUAAGCACCGGCUAACUCUGUGCCAGCAGCCGCGGUAAUACAGAGGGUGCAAGCGUUAAUCGGAAUUACUGGGCGUAAAGCGCGCGCAGGUGGUUAGUUAAGUCGGAUGUGAAAUCCCCGGGCUCAACCUGGGAACUGCAUUCAAAACUGACUGACUAGAGUAUGGUAGAGGGUGGUGGAAUUUCCUGUGUAGCGGUGAAAUGCGUAGAUAUAGGAAGGAACACCAGUGGCGAAGGCGACCACCUGGACUGAUACUGACACUGAGGUGCGAAAGCGUGGGGAGCAAACAGGACUAGAUACCCUGGUAGUCCACGCCGUAAACGAUGUCAACUAGCCGUUGGGAGCCUUGAGCUCUUAGUGGCGCAGCUAACGCAUUAAGUUGACCGCCUGGGGAGUACGGCCGCAAGGUUAAAACUCAAAUGAAUUGACGGGGGCCCGCACAAGCGGUGGAGCAUGUGGUUUAAUUCGAAGCAACGCGAAGAACCUUACCAGGCCUUGACAUCCAAUGAACUUUCUAGAGAUAGAUUGGUGCCUUCGGGAACAUUGAGACAGGUGCUGCAUGGCUGUCGUCAGCUCGUGUCGUGAGAUGUUGGGUUAAGUCCCGUAACGAUCGCAACCCUUGUCCUUAGUUACCAGCACGUAAUGGUGGGCACUCUAAGGAGACUGCCGGUGACAAACCGGAGGAAGGUGG